Papaver somniferum (opium poppy) is the source of this 1535-nucleotide long non-coding RNA. RefSeq lists it as uncharacterized. Lineage: Eukaryota; Viridiplantae; Streptophyta; Magnoliopsida; Ranunculales; Papaveraceae. The transcript is spliced from 2 exons. The record is from RefSeq and is a predicted model, not a curated record.
CAAUGUUCUCUACUUGAAACCCAGCACCUGCAGGAGAAAAAUUCAAUCUGUUUGUGACAGUAUGAAACGCGUAAUACAGUAUAACUAGUACAACCGUUGCCACGGUGGUAGGGCCGAUCGAAGAAGAAUCUGAAGAUGGGGCCGAUCGAAGAAGAAUCUGUCUGUGACAGUAUUAAAUGUUUUAAUCGAUUUCUAAUAAUGGGUUUUGAUUAUCUGAACAAAUUGCAGAAUUUGGUUGUUUUUUUCUAAAUUAGCUGGGAUUUUAGGGUUUAAUAAUUAAUUGUGAUGGUGGACAUUAAGAAUUUAAAGAGUGAAGGGAGGAGGUUACAUGAAUCCUAAUACAGUUGUUGUACUUCAUUUAGAUCUUAACCUCGCCAGAACAGAAGAACCCAGAUGAAGGUAACCAAGCUCACUUUGUCUAUUACAAGAUCUUCUACAUUUUUGAGUUAAGAUUGAAUCUUAUGUUUCCAGUGAAAUUCACUACAUGAAUAAGCAGAUACCACUGCUCUUGCAAAUGAAAAUGGUAAGGUCACUACAUGAAUAAGCGGAUGCCACUGCUCUUAGACAUGAAAAUGGUAAGGUCGAAUAAGAAAAUUUAACAAUUAGAGAGGAAUUCCUAAAGAUUCGUACCUUGAGGAUGAAAAACUGAGAUUGAGAGAAUGGCCAUUUUCGUGUGUUUAAUGAGUUUACAUGGUGUUGAAUCAGUAAAGUGACUCUUUUUCCUUAUAGUAAUUUCCUUUUUACAAUUCUUCUCUCAUUUUAACCAAUUUGUUGCGUAACACAACCUCAUGUCCUAAUGAUUGAUGCUGGUACUUUAAGCAUGUCUUAACCAACUUUUCCAUGAUUUUUAAGCAGCUUCAGCUGAGGAUAUCUCACCCCAUCUUUGUUUUAUAUGGUUUUUGAAUUUGGUUGAGCAUGGACUACGCUCCUUGAUGUUUUAGGCAUCACCCACAAAUCAUAGUUUAUAUUUCCUGUUUUGUUUUAAUGAAGAUGUAUGCGUAUUUUUUUGCUUGGUGUAAUGAAAUGAAAGCAUGUUUAACCCGCAUGAUGACGCAGGUGACAUGGUUAUUUUAUUUGCAAUUUAAACGGGCUCAGCCACUUCUCUGGUAUAGUUUGCUGUGAUGUUGAAGGGCUGUUGAUAUUUUUGUGCCUAUCCUGGGGAUUUGUGGAUUUGCUGGAAAGGGCUACGUGUCAUUACAGAUGAUCAGUUAUUUGUCUCCAGAUGAGGCUGACAAAAUCUUAGAUAUAGGAUUUGAGCCACAAAUCAGAAACAUUGUUGAGAAAAUGUACAUGUCUCCACGGGGUGCAAGGCAGACCAUGUUAUUUCGUGCCACCUUUCCAAGAGAGAUACAGGUGAACAAGGCAGACGGCCAUGGAAAGUGGCAGGAAAUUCAGUCUGUAGUUUAUUAUACUAUUAACAAUGCUAUAGGAGAACCCCCUCGGUUAUGCACUGUAUGCACUUCAUUUCUUAUUGCAAGUACAUCUAACUGUAAUUUACGAAUUUGAUAUAAAUAAUGAUGCAACUUCGAUUUCUA